Molecule: non-coding RNA, 19 nt
Filed under: Mus musculus (house mouse)
Lineage: Eukaryota; Metazoa; Chordata; Mammalia; Rodentia; Muridae
Source: RNAcentral
UGGCAAUGUGCUGCUUCAU